This 725-nucleotide long non-coding RNA is filed under the name Phoenix dactylifera (date palm). RNAcentral describes it as "long non-coding RNA (PDAC_LNC018372)". Lineage: Eukaryota; Viridiplantae; Streptophyta; Magnoliopsida; Arecales; Arecaceae. The record is from RNAcentral.
UUCAAAGUAAUAGGUUGUCAAAAGCUAUAUCAUGCACUUUAAUUUAAUGAAAUUAUUUUGAAUAGCACUGAACAAAUACUGAUAAUAAUAUCAAAAACUAAAGAGAGUCGUUGCAACUCAAAUUAGUAGAAAGGGAGCACAAAGCUAGCAAAACCUUCCCCUGCUGUUACUGCAACCCUGAGCUUGAUACCUGAUGCAUAAUUGGCUAGUGUUGGAAUUUUUAGACCAUGUUAAGCUGAAACAAGCUCCCCCACGAAAUCCAACAGAUAAACUAUAACUUAACAGUCUGUAGUAACUAUCAUAAUUUUUACCUCAUAGUUUUUUCCCCAUUUUUUAAAGUAAAUCAGAUAGUGAAAUUUCAGAAGAUAUUUCAUGCAGUAGAUACAGGGCAAACUAUCUAUGUAAUUCAGCAACAAGACUUGGUCCACCAGUUGGCACCCUCUACUCUGGGAAGAGGUCCUGGACUUCAAUCCUGGUGGUGGCAUAUUACCACUGUAGUUCUCAGAAAAUAUUGAGGAUGAAACAUAGAAACAGUCUAUCUGCACAUGGGUUAAUGUUGGGUACAUCUGACCCUUUCUAAACUCUACAGUGGCCGGAGCCUCAUGCACUAGUCCCCCAUUUUUUAAUUCUCAUAUGUAUGCAUAUGAGAAAUUUUUUUAUUCUCUAGCAAUCCUCAUUCAGGUUACACACACACAAAUAGACAUAUAUAUAUAUAUAUAUAUAUA